GCCAAUAGGAAGUGAGAGGAUACUCUCAAGUAUUAGCAGCUGAAUAUGUCAGAUUCAACCACAACUGAAAGAUUAAUAUCUGCAAGCAAAGUAUCAACAACAAAGUAGUAUGAUAGCAACGGUGUCUGAAAUGAUCUGUUGACGGUAGACUAUUCCUAACUGUCAUAUCAAUGGCGCCAGCCGUUGCCCGUUGACGGAAAUUGUCUUUUCCCGUCAAUGACGAGCGAAUCAGAAUUGUAGCAGGUAGCAGUAGUGUAACGAGUAGCAGCAGUGGCAAGGAACAGCGGUAGUGACAUCAGUAACAAC
RNAcentral lists this long non-coding RNA (306 nucleotides) under Hordeum vulgare. RNAcentral's name for it is "long non-coding RNA (HVUL_LNC001743)". Lineage: Eukaryota; Viridiplantae; Streptophyta; Magnoliopsida; Poales; Poaceae. The record is from RNAcentral.